AGAGUUUGAUCAUGGCUCAGAACGAACGUUGGCGGCAGGCCUAACACAUGCAAGUCGAACGAGAAGCAAUCUUCGGAUUGUGGACAGUGGCGGACGGGUGAGUAAUGCAUGGAUAUCUACCUUAUACUGGGGGAUAACAUCUGGAAACAGAUGCUAAUACCGCAUAUUCCAUAUUGGGAAAGCUCCGGCGGUAUAAGAUGAGUCCAUGUCUGAUUAGCUAGUUGGUGGGGUAAAAGCCUACCAAGGCGACGAUCAGUAGCUGGUCUGAGAGGAUGAUCAGCCACACUGGGACUGAGACACGGCCCAGACUCCUACGGGAGGCAGCAGUGGGGAAUAUUGGUCAAUGGGCGCAAGCCUGAACCAGCCAUGCCGCGUGAGUGAUGACGGCCUUCGGGUUGUAAAGCUCUUUCACUAGGGAAGAAUUAAUGACGGUACCUAGAUAAGAAGUCCCGGCUAACUCCGUGCCAGCAGCCGCGGUGAUACGGAGGGGGCGAACGUUGUUCGGAUUUACUGGGCGUAAAGGGAUCGUAGGCGGUCUUUCAAGUCAGAUGUGAAAUCCCAGGGCUCAACCUUGGAAUUGCAUUUGAAACUGGGAGACUAGAAUCAUGGAGAGGAUGGCGGAAUUGCCAGUGUAGAGGUGGAAUUCGUAGAUAUUG
Molecule: ribosomal RNA, 656 nt
Filed under: uncultured bacterium
Lineage: Bacteria
Description: bacterial SSU rRNA
Rfam family: Bacterial small subunit ribosomal RNA
Source: RNAcentral